AGUGAACGCUGGCGGCAGGCCUAGCACAUGCAAGUCGAGCGGCAGCGCGGGGGCAACCCUGGCGGCGAGCGGCGGACGGGUGAGGAAUUCGUCGGAAUCUGCCUUUUUGUGGGGGAUAACGUAGGGAAACUUACGCUAAUACCGCAUACGGCCUACGGGAGAAAGUGGGGGACCGCAAGGCCUCACGCAGAAAGAUGAGCCGACGACCGAUUAGCUAGUUGGUGGGGUAAAGGCCCACCAAGGCGACGAUCGGUAGCUGGGCUGAGAGGGUGAUCAGCCACACUGGGACUGAGACACGGCCCAGACUCCUACGGGAGGCAGCAGUGGGGAAUAUUGGACAAUGGGCGCAAGCCUGAUCCAGCCAUGCCGCGUGUGUGAAGAAGGCCUUCGGGUUGUAAAGCACUUUUGUCCGGAAAGAAAUCCCUGGAGCUAAUACCUUCGGGGGAUGACGGUACCGGAAGAAUAAGCACCGGCUAACUACGUG
RNAcentral lists this ribosomal RNA (484 nucleotides) under uncultured bacterium. Its description in RNAcentral is "partial 16S ribosomal RNA". It matches the Rfam family "Bacterial small subunit ribosomal RNA", at positions 30 to 507 of the family's 1533-position model. The record is from RNAcentral.